CCUUGGUUUCCCACCCAAACUCUAUGAACGUGUGUAAGAAAAAAAAUAUAUUUAGGACGCCAUUUUUCAUUGCUUUUGUUCCGUCGUGUUGAUGUUGGAAGUUUUCGUUUUGUCGGUGUAGGAAAAUACCCGGAAGGGACUUUGCGACGGAGAGAUAAGUUUUCACCAUUUUGACCAGCGACCGUGAACAUCGGCGCAGCGCUGGAAAAGAACCGCUAGUGAUAGCCGUACAACCGUGAUUUCAAUCCUAAGCCACCAGGACGAAAAAGGUGUCGUCCUGAGCUGCGAGGAAUUCUAUUCGGAUGAUGACGACGAAAACCAAUCGCAAUCCGGCCACUACGCUUGUUCCGGCUGUUCCGGCACCUCCCAGAUCGCGUUGUAGCCGCAAGAAUUUUGAUCUGCCCAAAAGUAUUCAGUCCCAGAAGAACCUGCUCCAACAGGCUGGUGUAAGGGUGCUUUUGUCGGAUCAAGAGCACCGGCGGGAUUGCCAGGAAAUGGAUGGAUGCAACGGAAGCGGCGCAAGAGCAGUUGGUGUCAGCGCAACCGCGUAACAGAAAACAAAGCGUCGCUUCGGUCCGGAAACUUCAAAAAUUUACGGAAUUACGUCCGCCUUCGGAGAGCUACGUUGGAGAAAGACGAAGGCAACGUAGCGCUUAGCCAAAAGUAUAGCUUAUACUUUCGCAAGAGUGCCGAGCGGCGAUCGAGAUAUGAAGCAGCUGAUUCUAUCGAGAGCAUGACGAUCCAAAAACUUCCGGAGUACGGAUACGACUUCCGAGUGUCAUCAAAUGAUGUACGAUUACCGGGACCAUAGUUGGUCACGAUAAUAUUCAAGACCCGUGCACUUUCCGGCCAAACAACUCGCACCCCACAUGACACGGUCUAAAGAAUCGCAUGCUGUUGAAAAACAUCGAAAAUUCUCGCAACGUUGAGUUCCAGAACACGGCCGGUACAUGCCGGCGCCGUCCCGUCUGCCACUUUCCCAAGCAGUGUCUGAAAAAAACCCCAGACGCAACUUUACAAUUGCGCCUUCGAUCGACGGAAGUACAGAUCCAGCAUCGCCAACACGAGGCCACGUGACCUAGUAUCAACAUUCCCUGCUGGUGGCCAACUCUAAUUAAUCUUUGAUAUCGAAAACACCAAGCGGCUUCGAUGGACACGAGCCGAUGGAUUGGUGAUUCUUGAUGAUUUUUUCUAGCAAAAUUGUCAAUAAACUAAAUAAAACAAAAUUAUUUUUUUAUUUAUUCAAAACAAAUCGGAUGAAAGAUCUAACUCGAUCGACCCCACAUUCCUUAUGCUUACUUGUGUGAAUGUAAAAAAUAUUGUGAAGUCGUAAGUAUGACUACGAGAAAAAUGUGAAGUUGUGAACGUGAUAGUGAAAAAGAAUGCGAAAAGGUUAGUGUGAUUGAAAAAAAUGAGCGUGAAGUCAAAAAUUCUGGUGAAUUCGUGAAAGCGAUUAGGAAUUAGUUUGUGAAUGAUAGUGAAAACGCGAGAGUGCUUGUGAAAUCGUAAUCAUGUUGAGGAGAAGAGUAUAACUUCAUGCUGUGAAGUCGUGAGUGUUUGCGAAGAAAAGUGUUAAAACGUUUUUGUGAUUGGAAAGAAUAGUAUGAAGUCAAGAUUGUGGUUGAGAAGAAAAUGUGAUUGGUGGGGGACUGUGAAGUCGUGACUGUGAAAAGAAAACAGACUGUGAAUAAUUGGUAAGAAGGUUGAUAAAUUUCAGAGUGAUUAAGGAAAAGAGUGUGAAGUCGUGAGUCAAGCACCAUUUCGAAAAUAGGAAGCACA
RNA transcript from Culex pipiens pallens (northern house mosquito), 1779 nucleotides. RefSeq lists it as uncharacterized. The transcript is spliced from 2 exons. The record is from RefSeq and is a predicted model, not a curated record. NCBI's taxonomy places the organism in Eukaryota, Metazoa, Arthropoda, Insecta, Diptera, Culicidae.